RNAcentral lists this ribosomal RNA (700 nucleotides) under uncultured bacterium. Its description in RNAcentral is "bacterial SSU rRNA". It matches the Rfam family "Bacterial small subunit ribosomal RNA", at positions 94 to 826 of the family's 1533-position model. The record is from RNAcentral.
AGUGGCGGACGGGUGAGUAACACGUAAGAAUUUGCCUUUAGGAGGGGGAUAACAACUGGAAACGGUUGCUAAUACCCCAUAUGCUUUCGAGUGAAAUGGAUUUCCGCCUAAAGAGAAGCUUGCGGCUGAUUAGCUUGUUGGUAAGGUAAUGGCUUACCAAGGCGACGAUCAGUAUCUGGUUUGAGAGGACGAUCAGACACACUGGAACUGAGACACGGUCCAGACUCCUACGGGAGGCAGCAGUGGGGAAUUUUCCGCAAUGGGCGAAAGCCUGACGGAGCAAUCUCGCGUGAGGGAUGACUGCCUAUGGGUUGUAAACCUCUUUUUUCAGGGAGGAAUCAAUGACGUGUACCUGAAGAAUAAGCAUCGGCUAACUCCGUGCCAGCAGCCGCGGUAAGACGGAGGAUGCAAGUGUUAUCCGGAAUCACUGGGCGUAAAGCGUCUGUAGGUGGUUUACUAAGUCAACUGUUAAAUCUUGAAGCUCAACUUCAAAAUCGCAGUCGAAACUAGUAGACUAGAGUAUAGUAGGGGUAAAGGGAAUUUCCAGUGGAGCGGUGAAAUGCGUAGAGAUUGGAAAGAACACCGAUGGCGAAGGCACUUUACUGGGCUAUUACUGACACUCAGAGACGAAAGCUAGGGUAGCAAAUGGGAUUAGAUACCCCAGUAGUCCUAGCCGUAAACAAUGGAUACUAGAUGUUGA